Molecule: ribosomal RNA, 347 nt
Filed under: uncultured bacterium
Lineage: Bacteria
Description: bacterial SSU rRNA
Rfam family: Bacterial small subunit ribosomal RNA
Source: RNAcentral
GGGCCCGCACAAGCGGUGGAGCAUGUGGUUUAAUUCGAUGAUACGCGAGGAACCUUACCAGGGCUUAAAUGUAAGUUGCAUAGAUCAGAGAUGGUCUUUUCUUCGGACUACUUACAAGGUGCUGCAUGGUUGUCGUCAGCUCGUGCCGUGAGGUGUCAGGUUAAGUCCUAUAACGAGCGCAACCCCUGUCGUUAGUUACCAGCAAGUAAUGUUGGGUACUCUAGCGAGACUGCCGGUGCAAACCGUGAGGAAGGUGGGGAUGACGUCAAAUCAUCACGGCCCUUACGUCCUGGCUACACACGUGCUACAAUGGUACUUACAAUGGGACGCAAAGAGGUGACUCUUAG